CGUGUAGGCGGGACAGCAAGUCGGGUGUGAAAGCCCUGGGCUCAACCCAGGAAGGGCAUUCGAUACUACUGUUCUUGAGUAUGACAGAGGAAAGCGGAAUUCCCGGUGUAGCGGUGAAAUGCGUAGAUAUCGGGAAGAACACCUGUGGCGAAGGCGGCUUUCUGGGUCACAACUGACGCUGAGGCGCGAAAGCUAGGGGAGCAACG
Molecule: ribosomal RNA, 206 nt
Filed under: uncultured bacterium
Lineage: Bacteria
Description: partial 16S ribosomal RNA
Rfam family: Bacterial small subunit ribosomal RNA
Source: RNAcentral